This 509-nucleotide ribosomal RNA is filed under the name uncultured Stenotrophomonas sp. RNAcentral describes it as "bacterial SSU rRNA". It matches the Rfam family "Bacterial small subunit ribosomal RNA", at positions 382 to 883 of the family's 1533-position model. The record is from RNAcentral. Lineage: Bacteria; Pseudomonadati; Pseudomonadota; Gammaproteobacteria; Lysobacterales; Lysobacteraceae.
CCUGAUCCAGCCAUACCGCGUGGGUGAAGAAGGCUUCGGGUUGUAAAGCCCUUUUGUUGGGAAAGAAAUCCAGCCGGCUAAUACCUGGUUGGGAUGACGGUACCCAAAGAAUAAGCACCGGCUAACUUCGUGCCAGCAGCCGCGGUAAUACGAAGGGUGCAAGCGUUACUCGGAAUUACUGGGCGUAAAGCGUGCGUAGGUGGUUGUUUAAGUCUGUUGUGAAAGCCCUGGGCUCAACCUGGGAACUGCAGUGGAAACUGGACAACUAGAGUGUGGUAGAGGGUAGCGGAAUUCCCGGUGUAGCAGUGAAAUGCGUAGAGAUCGGGAGGAACAUCCAUGGCGAAGGCAGCUACCUGGACCAACACUGACACUGAGGCACGAAAGCGUGGGGAGCAAACAGGAUUAGAUACCCUGGUAGUCCACGCCCUAAACGAUGCGAACUGGAUGUUGGGUGCAAUUUGGCACGCAGUAUCGAAGCUAACGCGUUAAGUUCGCCGCCUGGGGAGUAC